UGCUACAGCCAUACCACCCUGAAUGCGCCCGAUUUCAUCUGAUCUUGGAAGCUAAGCAGGGUCAGGCCUAACCAGUAGUUGGUUGGGAGGCUGCCUGGUAAUACUGGGUACUGUAGGCU
RNAcentral lists this ribosomal RNA (119 nucleotides) under Cervus elaphus hippelaphus. Lineage: Eukaryota; Metazoa; Chordata; Mammalia; Artiodactyla; Cervidae. RNAcentral also lists the same sequence under 1 other name. The record is from RNAcentral.